UUUAUCUUCUUAUAUAAAUGCUUUUUAUAUGUAUUACUUCUAAAAAUCUGAAUCUUCCAUGGUCAAAAGCUCUGCUAAUAAAGUUCCUUUGGCUGUGUUAUCCCUUUGCACAGAAAUUAGGUAUCCUGCCUUUGGCAUAUAGUUUUCGGGGAAAGCUUUGCAUCAGCCAUACGAGGUAAUUGCUGUUGCAACUCACAAGGGAAUCGCAAUAUGGCAUCUGGGAUUGAACCCUGAUCUUGAUGGAAGGCUCAGUGAAGAAGUUUGCAUUGCUCUCUGGUCAUGUAGGCGAGGUAGUUUGGCAGACGGAGUGGGACAUGAGUGGAAUGACACUAGCAACCACUGGAAGCGAAGGUGCCGUGAGGCUGUGGCAGUCUAACUUAAAUGGCAUUUGGCACAGGCAGGCGGCAUUUGAACCCACCACCUAGUCCCUGUUAUUCCAUCUGAUAUAAAUUUGUGAGACUGAAUAGUUGCUGUUUCCUGUAUUUAUUUUGCCAGAUUACAUAGCUUCAAAUUUUUUAAAUUACCAGCUCUUAUGUAUAAAAUUUCCUCCCAGUAUAAGCUCACUGGGUCUGGGUCUUUCUAGGCAGAUAUGGAGUGGAAUGCAGUCAUCAUCAUGGUCCUAUGUUUAUGUUGUAUGCAAGGUUUCUGAUGAAUUAUUGAAUUCCAAGG
Molecule: non-coding RNA, 669 nt
Organism: Camellia sinensis
Lineage: Eukaryota; Viridiplantae; Streptophyta; Magnoliopsida; Ericales; Theaceae
Source: RefSeq, a predicted model, not a curated record